Molecule: ribosomal RNA, 324 nt
Filed under: uncultured eukaryote
Lineage: Eukaryota
Description: partial 18S ribosomal RNA
Rfam family: Eukaryotic small subunit ribosomal RNA
Source: RNAcentral
CCCUUAGAUGUUCUGGGCUGCACGCGCGCUACACUGAUGCGAUCAACAAGUUUUUCCUAUGUCGAUAGACACGGGUAAUCUUUUGAACUCGCAUCGUGAUGGGGAUAGAUUAUUGUAAUUAUUAAUCUUCAACGAGGAAUUCCUAGUAGGUGCAAAUCAUCAGUUUGCAUCGAUUACGUCCCUGCCCUUUGUACACGCCGCCCGUCGCUGCUACCGAUUGGUUGAUCUGGUGAAUUAUUCGGACUGCCGGCUGAAGGGGUUUCCUCAUCUGCCAGCGGAAAGUCUUGUUAACCCUAUCAACUAGAGGAAGCAGAAGUCGUAACA